GUCAAAGGCAGCAAUUAAAAAUAAGUUUUAGGACUGUCAUUUUACUUGGAUGCUUGUCCAUUAAGUAGCCAGUGCUCUUUUUUGGAUGUUUUCAUGUAGGGUGGUUUUGAGAAAAUAGUUUGUGUGAAGUCAUACAGGACAGCAAUUGGUCCCAAGGGAGCAAAUUGAAUAGCUAUAAAGAAUAUAUUUCCUGAGUAUAAUGUUACUAUCUAAUAUCUUGUGUGUGUGAUCAACUAUCCCACAGCAUUAUCUAUAUUCUAGAGUCAGUUUACUGAAGUCCUAAGACAUCUAUGUUCCAGAUAAGUGGGGUUCCCCUAAACUUGUGAAAAUAUCCUCGAGAAAGCCAAUGCCAAUGCACCGAAUGCAACGAGUUUCAUUUCUAACCUGGGGGACUGAAUUAGCUGCUCCUCCUCAAGGCCCCACACAGCUGAGUUUGAGUCCUAAGUUUGGGAAGCAAGACAAGGCACAGAAGUGCCUGCUAGACUCGGACACUUCCUGAUGUCUAGAUUGUCCGGUGCCCAUGUCUUAGUGAAAGGUACAGCGACAGAACUAAGAGUGCAGAGAAGGCCAAAUCACGGACUUCAAUGUUGGCAAACCGGGUUUCCCUGGGAGAGAUCCAAGGAGAGUAACGCCCCCACAGUAUCAGGAGGCGCAGACACAGAUCACAUCGUUUGAGCUGAUUCACCAAAGAGUGCAGAGCCCUGACACAGGAGGCUACCAGGGCAGAACAAAACAAGCCAUCGUCUGCCCGGCGUCGCCCUUGUAGACGCACAGUGCGCAAACCGUGAAUGUGGGGCAGUGUGGGGCCAAGCGGUGCGCUUGGUACGCUCCAAAUGAGCCCUGGGCGAAGCAGGGAGGAAAUGCAGUUCCCAAGGGCCCGCCACAUUUCCCAUGUUCUUUAGCCUUCCACCGGCAAUUAGUGCCAUCACUUGCUUCCCGCUAGGUGACCACUUAACCUGCGGAAAGGCGUUCCAAGGGCGGGGCCUGCGGGAACCUAACACUCUUUCCACCACCCUCUCUCCCUGCCUCUGUGCACGACCUCGACCAGCUGGUCGCCUGAUCUCGUUUAGCAGGGCAGGAGCCUGUGUUCCCAUUUCUUACUAGCUGGGCUGCCGAUGACCUAGCUCAGCCUUGGUUUUCCUCCGGUUGAACAAAAGCUGGCAAGAGCUGCCUCCCGGAUCGCAGUGAGGACUCUAAGGGAACGAGGGCGAACGCGCUUUGGAAAGCCAGUUGCUGAGCAGAUGUCUGGAGAACUGACCCAAGAAGAAGGACCAACAAUUCAGGCUCAGGAAAGCCCACAAUUCCACAGGGGAACCAGGACUGCAUGGCUUCGAAUCCCAGCCCUCCCCACUCAGGAAACAUUGCUCCCCAAACGGCACGGAUUUCUGGACGCCUCCACCUUAAGACAGCUACUUCAGCCAGAACGUGGGACAGGCACUAACGGGAUAUCACCCUUGGGGAUAAACACGCUCCAGUUUCCUGUGGACGGUGGAAGAGGAAAGAACAGGAGAAGCUGCCAAAGGGAUGGGGUGUAGGAAGCUCAUCCUUGCACGUUUAGACUAGGGAAGAAGAGAAUAUUAGGGAUGGGGGAGGGGGGAGGAUGGGAAGUGUAGUUUUUCCCCUUCCUUCCUUUCAUUUCAGAUCCCAUUUAGUGCUUUUAUUUCUUUAAUUUUGAAAACUAUUUCCCUUUCCUGAAUCUGGAUGCGGGCAGGGAGCGAACUCAAGGAAAUGAUGAGCAUGGAUGAGAGCCAGGGGACAGGAGAUAUGUCCUGGGAACUCAAACUCUGCUGCUUCGCCACUGUCUCCGAGAUGCCCUGAGCCUUAGCCCAAUGUAAAGGGAGCUGAUUGGGUGUAUGGGCAGUGGCGGGUGGUCUGAGUAAGAAAUAAAAUGAGGGCAAGCCAGAUCUACUCCCAUCCCAAAGCAUUAAAAGACACACCUCCCCACCCCUCAGCUGUCUUGUGUCCGGCAGAAUGGCAUUAUGUAAAAGAUCUGGCAUGUCACCCAGUGGCACAUCUGGUAGGUGUAGAUGGCAUUCAUUAGCACGGGGCUUCUACUCUGCAGCAUGCCAAAGCUCUGACAGAGAUGCCCGCUGCCAAUCAUUCAUUGGCUGCCAAUCCCCAAGCGCGGCCGGGCGGGAUGGCUUCCUUCCACCCUGGCAUCAGGAGUGGAGGAAACAAUGUGUUGAGAUAGAAGAGAUGAAAGUGGAGCUGAGGAUGCGAGGCACCCAACAGAUGUAUCCCAUGAGGAGAUAACGGUGCUAAAAGUCAUUUAGCAAGAAAGCAUAUGCAGGAUCUCAGGAGGGAGGCUUGGGCAGGGGGUCUGCUUGCCUAGGGCUGAGCUGAAGGAAAAGCAGGGGAGCCCUUUCAGAAACCUGAAAGUUGAGGUUGCUUCUCUAAAAACACACAAAGACCAAAACCUCAACCCCCUAAGUGUAGGAUUUCCCCCUCUCUUUGGUUUGUCACUUGUAUCUCUUUUUAUCUAGCAACCUAACUACCUCUGUAAAGGUCAACCUUUGUCAUGUUUUUUUCUGAGGACCGAGAUGAAGAGCACCUUCCUGUUUUAAAUUUUGCAUAAUUCUCAUAGACUAGUAAUUUGGGGGCUAAGGGGAGGAAGACUGUCAGGCUAUCUUCAGUGCAUCGUAAAAGGCAAAGGUCUUAUUUCCAUUAUUAGCUUUUCAGAGGGGAUAAAGAUGAACAAAGGAAAGCAAGGAAAUUAUUAAAAUGGCAAAGGAAGAUUAAACACAAAAUCCAGGAUAGAGGUUGCCUUUGAGGUUGUUCUUUUUCUUAGGCUGGGUGGCAAUUAACAAAGUGUUCAGCGUAGUUUUUCUUUAUGCCAUAUACAUAUUUUACAUUCUUUUUAUCCAUUCACAACUUAAUAAAGCAACAACAAAACUCAGGGCUUUGAAAGUUUGUGGAACUUGGUGUUUAAGUUGACUCUAACUUAAGCUCUUUAGUUUAUAUAUAUAAUAUAUAUUUGUGUGUAUUAUCUAUACAAUUAUACUCUUUUUAGUAUAUGUUAUAAAAUAUUUGGGACAUAUACUAUAAAUUUAUUCAUAUUUUAUCUAAAACUGAAACUUUAGUUGGCCAUUACAUAUAUUUAUUUGCUAAAUCUAGCAACCUUGGGUAUGUUGGCUCAUGGUCACAAUAUAGCUGCUGUAAUUCCAAGCAUCAAACCAUCGUUUUAAACAUGAAGAAAGGAACAGGGGCAAAAAGCUGUGGUUGUUUGCUUAAUCAAUGAAAAGAAUACUUUCACUUUCAUUAGGCAGACCUGGAUCUCCUGGCCACAUAUACAUGCAAAAGAGUUUGGGAAAAUUAGCCUUUAAAGUAUAAAAAGAUAGCGAUAAAGGACUGGGGAUGGUUGUUGGGUUGCAAUCAAAGGUGUCUGACAAAGAAACCGAAGAUCAAAGAAGAGUUAAUGUUAACAUCAAACAAGAGUAUAGCUUAUCAAGUUUUUUCAUUGUUUUAAAUAAAAGUUUUCUGUUUUCAUUAUUGUGAUUAAAGGGAUACUGUUCUUGA
Molecule: long non-coding RNA, 3516 nt
Filed under: Homo sapiens (human)
Lineage: Eukaryota; Metazoa; Chordata; Mammalia; Primates; Hominidae
Description: HSALNT0320573
Source: RNAcentral